RNAcentral lists this ribosomal RNA (497 nucleotides) under uncultured bacterium. RNAcentral's name for it is "partial 16S ribosomal RNA". It matches the Rfam family "Bacterial small subunit ribosomal RNA", at positions 28 to 507 of the family's 1533-position model. The record is from RNAcentral.
GAUGAACGCUGGCGGCGUGCCUAAUACAUGCCAGUCGAGCGAACAGACGAGGAGCUUGCUCCUCUGACGUUAGCGGCGGACGGGUGAGUAACACGUGGAUAACCUACCUAUAAGACUGGGAUAACUUCGGGAAACCGGAGCUAAUACCGGAUAAUAUAUUGAACCGCAUGGUUCAAUAGUGAAAGACGGUUUUGCUGUCACUUAUAGCUGGAUCCGCGCCGCAUUAGCUAGUUGGUAAGGUAACGGCUUACCAAGGCAACGAUGCGUAGCCGACCUGAGAGGGUGAUCGGCCACACUGGAACUGAGACACGGUCCAGACUCCUACGGGAGGCAGCAGUAGGGAAUCUUCCGCAAUGGGCGAAAGCCUGACGGAGCAACGCCGCGUGAGUGAUGAAGGUCUUCGGAUCGUAAAACUCUGUUAUUAGGGAAGAACAAAUGUGUAAGUAACUAUGCACGUCUUGACGGUACCUAAUCAGAAAGCCACGGCUAACUACGUG